RNAcentral lists this ribosomal RNA (253 nucleotides) under uncultured bacterium. RNAcentral's name for it is "partial 16S ribosomal RNA". It matches the Rfam family "Bacterial small subunit ribosomal RNA", at positions 524 to 776 of the family's 1533-position model. The record is from RNAcentral.
UACGAAGGGGGCUAGCGUUGUUCGGAAUUACUGGGCGUAAAGGGUUUGUAGGCGGUUAUAUAAGUCAGUGGUGAAAGCCCGAGGCUCAACCUCGGAAUUGCCAUUGAAACUGUAUAGCUAGAGAGUGUUAGAGGAAAGUGGAAUUCCUAGUGUAGGAGUGAAAUCCGUAGAGAUUAGGAGGAAUAUCGAUGGCGAAGGCAGCUUUCUGGGACAUUUCUGACGCUGAGAAACGAAAGCGUGGGUAGCAAACAGG